This 433-nucleotide ribosomal RNA is filed under the name uncultured bacterium. RNAcentral's name for it is "partial 16S ribosomal RNA". It matches the Rfam family "Bacterial small subunit ribosomal RNA", at positions 29 to 507 of the family's 1533-position model. The record is from RNAcentral.
AACGAACGCUGGCGGCAUGCCUAACACAUGCAAGUCGAACGAGACCUUCGGGUCUAGUGGCGCACGGGGGCGUAACGCGUGGGAACCUGCCCUUAGGUUCGGAAUAACUCCCCGAAAGGGGUGCUAAUACCGGAUAAUGUCUUCGGACCAAAGAUUUAUCGCCUUUGGAUGGGCCCGCGUUGGAUUAGCUAGUUGGUAGGGUAAAAGCCUACCAAGGCGACGAUCCAUAGCUGGUCUGAGAGGAUGAUCAGCCACACUGGGACUGAGACACGGCCCAGACUCCUACGGGAGGCAGCAGUGGGGAAUAUUGGACGCUGGGCGCAAGCCUGAUCCAGCAAUGCCGCGUGAGUGAUGAAGGCCUUAGGGUUGUAAAGCUCUUUUACCCGAGAUGAUAAUGACAGUACCGGGAGAAUAAGCUCCGGCUAACUCCGUG